RNAcentral lists this ribosomal RNA (253 nucleotides) under uncultured bacterium. Its description in RNAcentral is "partial 16S ribosomal RNA". It matches the Rfam family "Bacterial small subunit ribosomal RNA", at positions 524 to 776 of the family's 1533-position model. The record is from RNAcentral.
UACAGAGGGGGCAAGCGUUGUUCGGAAUUACUGGGCGUAAAGGGCUCGUAGGCGGCCAACUAAGUCAGACGUGAAAUCCCUCGGCUUAACCGGGGAACUGCGUCUGAUACUGGAUGGCUUGAGUACGGGAGAGGGAUGCGGAAUUCCAGGUGUAGCGGUGAAAUGCGUAGAUAUCUGGAGGAACACCGGUGGCGAAGGCGGCAUCCUGGGCCGACACUGACGCUGAGGAGCGAAAGCCAGGGGAGCAAACGGG